This 387-nucleotide unclassified non-coding RNA is filed under the name fungal sp. RNAcentral's name for it is "partial internal transcribed spacer region". The stretch from base 1 to 46 matches the Rfam family "Eukaryotic small subunit ribosomal RNA", at positions 1786 to 1831 of the family's 1831-position model. Lineage: Eukaryota; Fungi. The record is from RNAcentral.
AAGUCGUAACAAGGUCUCCGUAGGUGAACCUGCGGAAGGAUCAUUAACACGUAUCCACGUAUCAACCAACUGUGCACUUGUUUUCAACUCUCCCUGCUCGGUACAUGAAUUGAAGAGAAUUUAGUAAUGUUGAGGAGUCUCUCGGGACUCAGCUAUCUUCUCUAACUUGACUUCGGUCAGACAAUUGUAGUACUGCGGUCAGGCAACCUUCUGCUUACAACCUUCUCUCAUCUGAAGGGAGUAGUGGAAUUAAACACACAUUUCACCCUAUUUUUGCUAGUUGACUUUUAUAUGUUGUCUUAUUCGAUACUUCGGUAUUGCGUAAUUCACACGUUUAUUAUUUGAACGUUAAAUUUACAACUCUUAGCAAUGGAUAUCUUGGUUCUC